This 495-nucleotide ribosomal RNA is filed under the name uncultured bacterium. RNAcentral describes it as "partial 16S ribosomal RNA". It matches the Rfam family "Bacterial small subunit ribosomal RNA", at positions 28 to 505 of the family's 1533-position model. The record is from RNAcentral.
GAUGAACGCUGGCGGCGUGCCUAAUACAUGCAAGUCGAGCGAACGGACGAGAAGCUUGCUUCUCUGAUGUUAGCGGCGGACGGGUGAGUAACACGUGGAUAACCUACCUAUAAGACUGGGAUAACUUCGGGAAACCGGAGCUAAUACCGGAUAAUAUUUUGAACCGCAUGGUUCAAAAGUGAAAGACGGUCUUGCUGUCACUUAUAGAUGGAUCCGCGCUGCAUUAGCUAGUUGGUAAGGUAACGGCUUACCAAGGCAACGAUGCAUAGCCGACCUGAGAGGGGAACGGCCCCCGUUGAAACUGAGCCCGGUCCCAGACCCCAAGGGGGGGCAGCAGAAGGGAUUCUUCCGAAAGGGGGAAAGGCCGGACGGGGCACCGCCGGGUGAGUGAAAAGGUUUUUGGGACCGAAAACCUUUUUUUUUGGGGAAAAAAAUAUGUGUAAGAAAUGGUGCAAUUCUUGGCGGCCCUAAACAAAAAGCCCCGGGCAACCUACG